This 433-nucleotide ribosomal RNA is filed under the name uncultured bacterium. RNAcentral describes it as "partial 16S ribosomal RNA". It matches the Rfam family "Bacterial small subunit ribosomal RNA", at positions 29 to 507 of the family's 1533-position model. The record is from RNAcentral.
AACGAACGCUGGCGGCAUGCCUAACACAUGCCAGUCGAACGAGACCUUCGGGUCUAGUGGCGCACGGGUGCGUAACGCGUGGGAACCUGCCCUUAGGUUCGGAAUAACUCCCCGAAAGGGGUGCUAAUACCGGAUAAUUUCUUCGGACCAAAGAUUUAUCGCCUUUGGAUGGGCCCGCGUUGGAUUAGCUUGUUGGUAGGGGAAAAGCCUACCAAGGCGACGAUCCAUAGCUGGUCUGAGAGGAUGAUCAGCCACACUGGGACUGAGACACGGACCAGAAUCCUACGGGAGGCAGGAGUGGGGAAUAUUGGACGAUGGGCGAAAGCCUGAUCCAGCAAUGCCGGGUGAGUGAUGAAGGCGUUAGGGUUGUAAAGCUCUUUUACACGGGAUGAUAAUGACAGUACCGGGAGAAUAAGCACCGGCUAACUCCGUG